GACUACUAAGAGAGCAUUUGUUUCUUAUUUCAAAAUAUCACACCAACAAAUUUAACGGAAAAAAUUAACAAUGUAACAAUUUGACCUAAAUUUUGAAACAUGAAAAAUAGAACAAUUAAAUUUCUGAAAAUAUCAGUACAGGGAUCGAUGGCAUAUUUUAACCAAAUUAACAAUAUAAUCAAGUUAAAUGUUAAAUGCAUAACUUUAGCACUCCACAGCCGACCUGAUCACCGGAUUCAAAUAUGAGACACUAUAUUCGUUGUUGAAACAACUUGAACCAUCUUCUAUUUCAAAUCAAAUACAAAUAUCAAGCUUUUAUCACAUUAUACAAAACAUUCAUUUUGAUUAAAAACAAAUUCAAGUCAUUUUAAACACUUUAGAAUCAUUUUUAAACAAGUUCUAGGUGCUUGGGUAUGAUCGAGACCAAGUUCGGGUCUCCGGGAGUUGAAACAAGUCAAAAUAGGGGAGGGAUCGUAUCUGUAGAAGUCCCUGCUACUGGUUUACUUGUACCGAUACAUCUUAGCACUUGCAUCGGUAGAAGUUUGUCAGGAUCCAAAAAAUACCCUAAAACACACCUCAUUUGACCUAAAACAAUACCAAAUCAUUUCUAAACAUUAUGAAACACUAAAUACAAGUUUUAAACACCAUUUAAGCAUCUUUAAACACAUUCAAACAUAAGCCUUCAAACACGAACAUCACUUUACCAAUUUCAUACUUCAAUUUUAUCUACUUGACAUGGAAGCAACCAAUGACUGAUAGCAUAGCAAUAAUUUAAGAUCAUGCAUCUCAACUUAAUCACAUAAUCAUAUCAUCGAACAUUUAGAUUAUUGAACAUGUUUAACUUGAAUAUUUUGAAGCAUAGAAGAUACCAAGGCAUCAUAAUUGACUCCAAAAACUAAAUUACAACACUAGGUACAAGCCGACUCUAUUUUAGCAUUCAACUUACGAUUCAAACAUUACUGAGCUGAGAUUUGAAACCUGGAUGCUGCCAACCUUCUUGAAUCCAUGAGACCUAAUUGAAAUCUGCGCACAGAAACAAACAAAUCCACACACUAAACAAAAGAGCUCAAUGGUGCUAACAUAAUUCGAAAACAAUGUAUAUAAUAAAAUUUAAACAUAUAAAUUUGAUAUAAAAUCAUUUUUAACAAGUGUAUAUCAAGGAAUCUUUGUUUCAUGUUCUUUACUAAAACUGUCAUACCAAAUUCAUGCUUGAGUUAAGUCUCAUAUAACAUCAUCUCAUUAUGCCUUUAAUGCCAUGCACGAUCAUAUCUAGUAUCAUCAAUUAGAUUUAAGCAUAACAUCAAUACUAUCUCAAUUUAAUUAAUAAUCAUAUGGCAUUCUCAUACCACUAUUGAUAUCUCAACAUCAUGAUUCAAAAGGCAUUUCAUAUAAAAAUAUUCAUUUUCUCAUUUCAUGAUCGAAUCGAUUGAUUCAUUUUAUAACCAUAUCGGCCCUCGGGGCUCGUAAUAUCCGAAUCGCAUGGUUUUUCACAUGCUAUCUUUCCAUGCUUUAAUAAUUCAUUCUCAGUUUCCACAAUCAACAUUUAACAUUAAACUUCUACUGUUAUUAAGCAAAUCACAUGAUUUAUAAUCCCUAUUAACCAAACACAGAGUCAAGAUGGAUACACGGAUCAACCAAUCAUUACACCAAAAUAGCUGACACUCAGUGCAUCAUUGGUACAUUCGAAAUAAUGUGCGCUCUGCGCCUCAUCGGUAUGAACCGAAGUAAUAUAUGUAAAUGUGCCUAGCACCUUAUUAGUAAAAACCAAAAUAAACCCCAUACACUAAUCCUAUAUCAUGCCAACUAUAUCUGACUCUAUCCAAGACAGUUAAAUGUAUUCAAUAUUUCAAAGUAUAUAUGUUCCACAUGUAUAUAUCAAAUUCAUAUCUCUCUAAAAUCAUUUAUCAUUUCAUAACAUUAGUAUUCUUUUACAUUUCAAAUACAAUCAAUAUGGCAAUUCACAUAUCAUUUACAUGUCAAUUUCAUGCUUUUAUAUAUCAUCUACUUAUGCAUUCAUACUUUCACAUAUCAAUAUCACAUUUAUCUCAUAGUUACAUUUUCACAUCAAGAUAAGUAUACAUACAAAUACACAAACUAUCAUCACAUUAUAAUCAUUCAUCAUAUAUACUAUCAUCAUAGCUUUCACAAGUCCACAACCAUAUAAUACUUACCAAAUCAUGAGACAAGUAGGGUCCUUACCUUAAUCAAGCUAUUUUAUAACAAGUCAUAUAUAUAAUAUUCAAAUCAUGAAACCACAAACCAGAUAAAGCUACUCGUCUACAGUUUUCGCCUUUCCUUUAUCCCACGACGUCCCGAGUCUUUAGCUACAUAUGAUAAUUCAAUUAUUGACGCGAUAUUAGUUUUCAUACAAACACAUCAAUUAAACAUAAAUUGCAUUUUACUCAUUUUAGCCCCUAUAAGCCCUAAUAUCCGAAAUGCUUGGAUUUUUCAAUAUCUAAUGUCAAAUCAAAAUUUAAUUUCAUAUUUUUUCAUUAAAGACCCAAAGCUUUCAAUCUACAACAAAAUUUUCUAAACGCUUUCACUUUAUUUAAUUUGACCCCUAAUGUCAUAAAAUUAAUUAUAGGUUUUAGUUGAAUUUCUAAUCAAAUCCAACACUUUUCUCUACUUUCUAACUUAGUCCUAAUAUAAUUUAAGCUAAUCCUUCAAAAAUCUAUUACUAUCAAUUUUAAUUUCAUGAAAACUCAUUAAUGGAAACUUGGAUUUAACUUGACAAUUUGGAAAUCUAAAACAUGGGUAUGCAAGACAAAGCUUAGUUGAUAAAAUAUCUAUAAUAAUCUCAUGAAAAUAACUUGGUUACCUUGGUUAUUUGGGACGGAAAUUUGAAGAAAACUUAACCUUCUUUUUCUCUUUUCUAUUUGGUUUGAGAGGUAGGAGAUAAUAUUUUUGUUUUUCUCUCACCCACUUGCUCACCAUAUAUAUAUAGAUUAACACGGUUAUUAACUUAGUUAACUAAUAAUUAACUAUACUUUAAUAAUAGUUAGUGGGAAGUGUUGACAUACUUAGCACUUAAAUAUUGACAUGAAUCAUAAAUGGCUCAAUAACUCCAAGGUCCCUAGUUUAAUUACUUAUUAAACCCUCAAGCAUUUUCUAAAUUAAAACUUAAUAGCGAUUGCACUUUUACAAUUUAGUCUCUGUACUAUAAUUAAUGAUUUUCUCGAUUUAAUUACUCGACCAUUUAAUAAUAUAUUCUCAUACUAAAUGUGUAAAUCCUCCAUUCAUAAACUCAAUUUAUGGCAUCCAGUUUUGAAAUCACAUUUUUCAACACCAGCUAAAAUCGGGUUGUUACAAUAACUCUCAAUUAAAGCACACUAAAUCAAUAUAAAAAUUCCAUUCAAGCACUAGUUUAAUACACUCACAUCAAUUAUUCAUUACAUAAUUAACUUAGCAUGAAUCGCCAUUAAUAUAUAAAUAGACAAUUUGACAUUCACUUCAUAAAUAAUUAUUAUCAAGUAUCAAGCUAAAUGUUGUCAUGUCAUAUACAUAUAUAAAUAAAAAUAUGCUAAUAUCACCAUUUAGAUGACCAAUGACUAAUCGUAUAGCUCCAUUUUUUUAAUUAAAUUGUCCAAUUUUGCCUAAUACCAAACUAUCAGAAUAAGAUAAUGGAAGUAAGUGACACUGCCUUGCCUAUAAAGUGUUGAAACCAUCUUUGAGGUGUCCAUAUGCAUAUAUCAGUAGCAUCACCUUUAAGGUGUCGUAGACUCGUAGUACCACUCUAAGGUGCAAGCACUGCUAAUUUCUAUCCCAAUUGGCACGCUAAUGUAUCCUUGACCUAUAGUUUAAGUCCAGGCAUUUUACACCCAUAUUAUUUUACGUAGACAAUAUGCUCAGCAUAAGUUAAUAGUUUACAAAUUCCAAAUUCAGUAUACUCCUAAUAUACCAUCAAUAUACCAGUUCCAUAAACAUAAGCCAUCAAAUUAAAGACAUUUUUUCCAUCAUGAUCAAAUAUUCAAUUUACACCUAAUAUGCGAUCAAUAUACCAGUUUCCCAUAAACACAAGCCAUUCAAUUCAAGACAUUUCUAUUAUGGCCAAAUAUUCAAUAUACAACAAAUAUGCUAUCAAUAAACCAAUUUUCCAUUUUUAUCAUUUAAAUUCAAAGAUUAGAUAUGCCAUGUUUCCCAUUUCACACAAAAAACAAGAGAUAUGUAAUGUUUGGAUUGUAUCAAAUGGUAAAAAUGAAAAAUUGACACAUUGAUGGCGUAUUAGGUAUACAACGAAUAUUCGUCCAUGAUGGUAAUAUCUUGAAUUCAAGGGCUUGUGUUUAUACUCUUGUAAAUGAGCCAUACUGUGGAUUUUUCUAUUCUUCUGUCUUCCAACCUAUGCGUGGGAAAGGAAUACAAACAUGCUAAGCAUAAAGCUUAAUAGUGCACACUUUAAUUUUAGUCACUAAGUGAAUAGCACUCUAUAGAAAUGUGUCUGACAAAUAUAGUAACACAAUCAUAUAUCAAAUAAGAAAAUCCCAAUCAAUAUACACACUAAAUCCAUAAAGGUAUCCCAUUCAGCCAUUAAUUUAAUCUUCCCACGUCAUUUAUUUAUUAACAAAAUUAAUUCUAACAUGAAUCACCAUUAAUAUACAAAUCAACAGAUAAACUGACAUUCAUUUCACAAAUAAAUGUCAAGUAUCAAUUCAGACAUCAUCAUGUCAUAUAUAUAUAUAGAUAUAGGCUUAAUAACUUGGACCCCUAUACAAUAGGCAAAUUGUUUGUUCGGCACCUCAAGAAAUUUUUUAGUUAGUUUAUACCUGCACUUCCAUUCCGUCAAGAAAAAGCUCCACACUCACCUUCACCAAAAAAUACUCCAACCUGCCUCCACUGUUUCAAAAAGGAAAACACUCCAUUCGAAGUGGGGUGGUUCGGAAUCCACUGGGCAUUUUAAGUUUUGCCAUCCCUAGUCUAUGGGAAAGGAUAAGAGAAGUAUUCAUUGGAGGAGUUGGAAGAACAUUUGUGAGACUAAACUAUGAGGAGGUAUGGGAUUCAAAGAUAUGUUUGCAUUCUACAAAGCUUGUUUUGCUAAGGAGGUAGGGAUGGAGACUGCUAAAGAAUAAUAACUCUUUGGUAAUGUGCUAAAGGCAAGAUAUUAACCAACAACAAUUUCUUGGAUGCAAACCUCAGACAAAAUCCAUCAUUUACAUGGAGCAAUAUAUGGAGUGUGAAGGAUGUGGUGGAGGCUGGGGUAAGAUGCAGGGUGGGCAAUGGUAAAAGCAUCCAGGUAUGAGAUGAUAAAUGGGUUGCUAGCAAUGCUACAUAUAAAGGGCAAACCACAAGAGAUAACACAUGCACCAUUUUCUAGGUUAAUGAGUUAAAUAGAUACAGAAACUAAGCAGUGGAGAUGCAACUUGAACAAUAGCCUUUUUCUAAUCUUGGAGGAUGCUCAUAAAAUUCAUUGUCUUCCUAUUAGUGCACAUGUAUUAGAGGAUGAGCUGGUUUGAAAUUUGAAUAAAUACGGAGCAUACCCAGUCAAGAGUGGUUAUAACAUGACAUUGGCUAAUGCAAGGGAGAAUGUAGCUAUAUCAUAAACCACUCAAGAGGAAAAUGGGCUAGUUUUUCAAGAGGUUAUGGGGGAGAUUGCGAAGCACGGUUGGAAUCUUGCCUGGAACACGCAGGGAUACCUGGUUCUAGAGAAACAAAUUCAUACACGGACUGAAAUGUCGGAAAGAGGAUCAAAAGCAAUUCAUAACUUCAUACCUGACGGAAUGCAAAUCGCUAACACCAGCAAAGCCUCCUAGCCCUGAACCGAGAGUAGCUCUCUAGAAACCUGUGCAAGAACCGACAAUUAUAUUCUACUUUGAUGCGGCCGUUGAUAUAGAACAAAUAGUAGGAGUUAGUGGGCAUCGUGGACAGAAAUCACCGUGGUGAAAGGACUUAGCAGCAUGAACGAUGAAAACUCCCAAUUGGACAUAACCACAUGCAAGCUACCAAGCACUGAAAUUUGCUAGUAUUAGGGCCUUUUGACAUAGAACCAGAAGGGGAUACUUACAAUUAUCGACGAUGGGCCAACUUUGGGACGUUUAGAUCCUGCAAAUUCGUGAAGGGAAUAAGACAGCACAUUUGUUAGUUAGCAAAGUUUUAGUUUAGGGGUUUCUGAAAACUGCUUUUGGCUCGAGGAAGAGGCAUACUAUUUGGCUAAUGCUGUUGGAAACAAAUGGUCCUUUCUCUAAUUAAUUAAGCUAAACCAAUAUUUAGGUUAAAAUAUGUUCCUAGUCCCUGUAAUAUUUAUACAUUUGAAAUCUAACCUCUCUAUUUUUAUUUUUAAGAUUUUAAUUUUUUUAUUUUUCACUUUUCAAAUUUUAGAUCCAAUGAUUAACCCGGUUAACCCAGUUAAAAAUUUACUAUUAUGACAUUUUGAAGGAAAGAAAUACUCAUUUAGUAACUAUGUAAUAAAAAAAUAAUAUUGAAUUAAACCUAAAUUUGAAGAAAAUUUUAACUAUAUCAAUAAUUGAACUUACAUUUUUCUAAAUUUAAAAAAUAUAAAUAUCAAAAAAAAAAGUAAAAUUACUAAAUUUUAAAUGUGCAAACUCGAAAUGUUAUUAUAAAUAAUAAUAUUAUUUGGCAUAAGAUAUUAUUUAGUCUUUUAACUUGGGAACUUUUUUCAACUUAGUCCUUAAACUUUUUUUAAUCCACAUUAUCAUUAGAGCUGGACAAACUUUUUUAGUUUUGGUCAUGGCAUUUUAAGAUUGUGCAAAUCAUAACAAAUUUAGGGACUAAAUUAAAAAAAUUACCAAAUUUAGGAUUAAAUGGUGUCUUUUUGCCAUUAUCAGCAAAUAUACUCUAAACUUAAGGACAAACUAGGAAUUUCGUAUUAUAGAUUUUGCCUUUAUGCGUUCACGUCGUUGAGGAAAACCCAAAAAAACGAGAGUGAGACAUAAAAGGAAAAAGAAGAAAAAUACAAGAGAGAAAACGAAGGAAAAAAAGUGUUGCAAAGGCGAAGGAGUGAUUGUUAAUGUUGGAUGUAAUUUCCUUGCAUUGCGAGAAGGAGAGGUUUAAAGGUCUGCCAUUGUAUAGCUUUUCUUCUGCAAUGGCGUUUUGCUUCAUUGUGACCUCUUCCCUCACCCGUUCAUUUCCUAUAAAAACGAAUUAAAUUUCAUAUAAAAAAGGCAUUUUGAUAACAAAUUCUCCGCUGCUGUAGAGAAAAGGGAGAGAUACAUUUGGUACGGUUAGAGAGAGGAGCGAGCGAGGGAGAGAAACAGAGAGAGAGAGGGGGGGAAGAGCUAGGAGGGUGAAAGUGAGGCAGGGAUUUGGAGGAAAACUUGGGAUGGCAAUUUGUUUCGCAUUGUCUUGUGGAAG
This 7302-nucleotide long non-coding RNA is filed under the name Gossypium barbadense (sea-island cotton). RNAcentral's name for it is "long non-coding RNA (GBAR_LNC008588)". The record is from RNAcentral. Lineage: Eukaryota; Viridiplantae; Streptophyta; Magnoliopsida; Malvales; Malvaceae.